GAGAGGGCAAGCAUGCCUCAUACCCUGAGCCCCUUCUAGCCCUGGACGUGUACGACGAUCAAUUUGUUUUGCCUCUUGAAUGGGCAAAAGAACUAGAAUGAAAAAGAGCGCAUGUGAUGUUGCUAUCCCUUUCGCUAUGUGUUCGUAGGUGGCACCAUGACUCCUUUUUUCAUGGAAAACCAAAAUGACUCUUAGCAAUAGACAUCUUGGGUUUUGCAUUGAUGAAGAACGUAGCAAAAUGUUAUACUUGGUGAGAAUUGCAAAAUCCCAUGUGUAGAAAAAUUCUUUUAGUUUUGUUGGCAUCCACAAAAACAUUCAGCUAAAAAAUCAGUGUAAAAGAUUUUGUGGCCAUUUGAAAAAAGUGUCCCCAUUUCAAACACUUGAAUGGCUACUGACUGUGAACCGUAAAAGCUUUGAUGCUCAUUAAGGGGGUAUGAGUUAUUGAGGUUCAUUGGAGGAUAAGGGGGCUAAUAUAAGGGCCAAUGACCAAUGCCCAUCACACAUCAUGUGCACACACCCAUUGGCCCUUCACCUUUAAUCAUUGAAACCCCUAUUGCUGUCAGUUUAGUUUUUUAUAUGCUAUGGAUUGGAGUAAUGAUUAAUAAGGAUAGUCAAGGACAUUCGUAUUUCAUAGUCAAAAGUGAAAUUCUUAGAUUUAUGAAAGAUGAACAACUGUGAAAGCAUUUGCCAAGGAUGUUUUCAUUAAUCAAGAAUAAAAGUUAAAGGCUCAAAGACGAUUGGAUAUUGUCUUAGUCUUAACCAUAAACGAUGCCAACCAAGGAUCAACGGAUGCUACUUUUAGGACUCCUCAGGCACUUUAUAAGAAAUCAAAGUUUUAGGUUUCAAGUAGAGUAUAGAUAUAAGGCUAAAACUUAAAGAAAUUGAUGAAAGGGCACCACUAGUAGUGGAGCCUAUGGCUUAAUUUAACUCAACACACGAAAACUUACCAAGUCUAGACAUACUAAGGAUUGAUAGAUUAAGAGCUCUUUUUUUAUUCUAUAGGUGGUAGUGCAUGGCCAUUCUUAGUUGGAGGAACGAUUUGUUUGGUUAAUUUAAUUAACGAACGAGACCUCAGCCUACUAACUAACUAUGCGAAGGUGAACCUUCAUGGCUAGCUUCUUAGAAUGACUAUGACUUUUUAGGUUAAGGAAGUUUAAGGCAAUAACAAGUCUAUGAUACCCUUAGAUAUUUUAGGCCACACACACAAUACACUAAUGUAUUCAAUAUGUUUAUAGCCUUGGCUGAUAAGACCAGGUAAUCUUUGAAAUUUCAUCAUGAUAGGGAUAGAUUAUUGCCAUUAUUGGUCUUUAAUGAGGAAUUCCUAGUAAGCGUAAGUCAUCAGCUUGCAUUAACUACAUCUCUACCCUUUGUACACACCACCUGUCACUCCUACCAUUGAAUGGUCCAUAAAGUGUUCAAAUCAUGGUGACGUGGAUGGUUUGUUGCCUGUGACAUCAUGAUAAGUCCAUUAAACUUUAUAAUUUAGAGGAAGGAGAAGUCAUAACAAGGUUUUCAUAGGUGAACUUGUGGAAG
RNAcentral lists this ribosomal RNA (1533 nucleotides) under Durio zibethinus. RNAcentral's name for it is "SSU rRNA". The stretch from base 336 to 1533 matches the Rfam family "Eukaryotic small subunit ribosomal RNA". Lineage: Eukaryota; Viridiplantae; Streptophyta; Magnoliopsida; Malvales; Malvaceae. The record is from RNAcentral.